CGGGGUGUAGCGCAGCUUGGUAGCGCAUCUGGUUCGGGACUAGAGGGUCGCAGGUUCAAAUCCUGUCACCCCGACCA
This 77-nucleotide transfer RNA is filed under the name Geosporobacter subterraneus DSM 17957. RNAcentral describes it as "tRNA_Pro_CGG". It matches the Rfam family "tRNA". From Rfam's summary of the family: Transfer RNA (tRNA) molecules are approximately 80 nucleotides in length. Their secondary structure includes four short double-helical elements and three loops (D, anti-codon, and T loops). The record is from RNAcentral. RNAcentral also lists the same sequence under 1 other name. Lineage: Bacteria; Bacillati; Bacillota; Clostridia; Peptostreptococcales; Thermotaleaceae.